AGUGAACGCUGGCGGUAGGCCUAACACAUGCAAGUCGAACGACAGCACCGUGAGUGCUUGCUCUUGCGGGUGGCGCGUGGCGGACCGUUGCGGUAUACAUCGGAAUCUACUUUUUCGCGGGGGCUAAUGUCGGGUAACUUCCGCUAAUACCGCAUACGUCCUACGGGUGGAAGCAGGGGACCUUCUGACUUUGCGCGAUUGAAUGAGCCGAUGUCGGAUUAGCUAGUUGGCGGGGUAAAGGCCCACCAAGGCGACGAUCCGUAGCUGGUCUGAGCGGGAGGACAGGCAGACUGGAUGUGAGACACGGCACAGACACCGACAGGGGGCAGCAGUGGGGAAUAUUGCACGAGGGGGGAAUGCCGGAUCCAGCGAUACCGGGUGAAUGAAGAAGGCCUUAGGGUGCGAAAGCCAUGUAGGUGGGAAAGAAAAGCAGCACUUUAAUCCCCCGCUGUACUGACGGUACCCAAAGAAUAAGCACCGGCUAACUUCGUG
RNAcentral lists this ribosomal RNA (492 nucleotides) under uncultured bacterium. Its description in RNAcentral is "partial 16S ribosomal RNA". It matches the Rfam family "Bacterial small subunit ribosomal RNA", at positions 29 to 507 of the family's 1533-position model. The record is from RNAcentral.